AGCGAACGCUGGCGGCAGGCCUAGCACAUGCAAGUCGAACGCACCUUCGGGUGAGUGGCGGACGGGUGAGUAACACGUGGGAACGUGCCUUUUGGUUCGGAAUAACUCAGGGAAACUUGUGCUAAUACCGAAUGUGCCCUUCGGGGAAAGGAUUUAUCGCCAUUAGAGCGGCCCGCGUCUGAUUAGCUAGUUGGUGAGGU
This 200-nucleotide ribosomal RNA is filed under the name uncultured bacterium. RNAcentral's name for it is "partial 16S ribosomal RNA". It matches the Rfam family "Bacterial small subunit ribosomal RNA", at positions 29 to 258 of the family's 1533-position model. The record is from RNAcentral.